Molecule: long non-coding RNA, 2106 nt
Organism: Armigeres subalbatus
Lineage: Eukaryota; Metazoa; Arthropoda; Insecta; Diptera; Culicidae
Exons: 6
Source: RefSeq, a predicted model, not a curated record
UGUUUUGCCUUUCUCGUACAACAAAGUUGUACCGAAAAGGCUAUCAUUUCACUCCGAAAACGACCUUUUUAUCGAGGACUCGUAGACCCUAGUGUUAUAUACCAAUCGACUCAGCUCGACGAACUGAGCAAAUGUCUGUCUGUCCGUGUGUGUGUCCGUGUGUGUGUGUGUGCGUAUGUGUGUGCACACUAAAACAUUAGCCAAAUUUUCUAGUACUAAACCUUAAUCGAUUUUACCGCAGCAAGUUGCAUUCGAUGGAGAAUGUUUUCUUUUUGUUCACUAUUGAAUUUCAAAACGGUUGAACUUCGCAAAAAAUAGUAAAUAUUCAAAUAGUUAUCACUAGGGAUCCUACAUUCAGAGAUAUGCGAAAGCGGCCAUCUUGAGCCAAUCGAGCAUUGAGAGCUGUCAGAAUCUGAGCCAAAUGAACAUUGUUAUUGUUGCGGAUUGAAAGGUAUUGCGAUUGUAGUGAAAAAGAUUUUACGAAAAGUUUUGUCGAAUAAACAAUUUGUUUCACAUUGGCAACAUGAAGUAGUCUAGUUUAUGCAUGGUACUUUGUUCAUUUGUAUUGCACUUUUAUUUUAGUGAUAAUGCACUGUUGGACGUUAGAUAAAGAAAUCUGAAAAUGCCAUUAUAUGCAGAGUCAUGUUCGAGCUCCAACAUUUUGCGCCACGGCAAGUGCUGGCAGCGUUUGUUUACGAAAGUAACAGCGUUGCUAAAUCGUCUGGAAAAGUAUUCGCACAUCUCUUAAUAUAGGAUCCCUAGUUAUCACAUAUGAUUAUUUCGGUAUGAAAUGCUCUCGGAUGACAAGGUUAUGUUCUCCCAAGACACAAUUCGAAACUGACAGCAUUCAGUUUUAUAACAACCCAGAGUAACAAAAAGUUAGAGUUCUUCUCGUUCGACAUCGGUGCCGGCCGGCAUCGAUUGCUGUUGUGAAAAAAAUGGAGACUGAAUCAUUUCGAAUUGGUAUUGAGCUGUUUUGAGGUUUUCAGCAAAUGAAAAUCCCACCGAAGCUGAAAUUCGAUCGUUUGGGUGUGCGGCAUUUCAACAUCGGUGAAUAACGUGCUACAAUCGGCAAAUGAAUCCGGAUGACGAACUCUGGAUUACCCUGGCUUCGGAGUAAAAUCUCUGAAAAUCAAAUAUGUGUUUGAGCCAUUGGAACCGGAAUGUUGUUUCCAUCGCCCACCGGGAAAAGAUUACAGGUAGCUGGCAGCAAUACGGUACCGUAUCACAUCUGGCUGUACGGAACAUCCAAGGACUAAUCAUUCAAUGCCAGUCAGAAUCCCGAAAGCGAAUGCAGGUAACCAGCGUAUGUUCAAAUUACCCUAUCGACGCUGAAAAACACCGACGCUGAAAUUUGAGCGUUUGCCUGUUUGGCGUUUUAACACCGGCGAAUAACACACUCUUGUUUCGUAUCGUCGUAGUGGAGGAGUUCCUUCCGGCUGAUCGGAAUAUCCAAGGAUUAAUCACGAUUUGCACCAUGUAGGCAAUUCCAGCCGGAAUCCCGAAAGAGAAUGCAGGUACCCUGCAGCGUAGAACAACAAUAAUCGGCGUAUAACACCUGCAGAGCCACCGGAAACAAAAUAUUAUUUUCAUUGCCAGGCAGGAUUCUGGUACCAUAUCGCAUCCGGCUAUUCGGAAUAUUUAAGGAUUAAUCAUGAUUUGCACCAUGUAAGCACUGCUAGUCGGUAUUCCGGAAGAGAACGCUGGUGCCCAGCAGACUAAAUGAUCUAAUCGACGACAAUCAAAUGAAAAUAAUACCACCGAAGUCGAAAUUCGAGCGUUUGGCUGUUCGGCGUUUUAACACCGGUAACAGAACAACAAUAAGCGACGAAUAACGUAUCGAAGCGAAUUCCUUGUAAGAAAACGCAUAUGUGUAUUAGCCACCGGAAGCAUGAUGUCGUUUCUAUCGCCUACAACGGAAUAGAUGAAAAGAAGCUGUCAGCAAUUCGGUAUAGCAUCCGGCUGUAAGGAAUAUCAGGAUUAAUUUUGUCUUCAGGAUUUGCACCCCAUAAUCAAUGUCAAUGAAUCAUUGGCAGUGGCUGAUUUUCUACCCGUCGCUGCCACAUCCAGGCAUUAUCGUAUAUGCGCAAAUAGUUAGCAUGAAUU